RNAcentral lists this transfer RNA (66 nucleotides) under Thitarodes damxungensis. RNAcentral's name for it is "tRNA-Arg". Lineage: Eukaryota; Metazoa; Arthropoda; Insecta; Lepidoptera; Hepialidae. The record is from RNAcentral. RNAcentral also lists the same sequence under 5 other names.
AAAUAAGAAGCAAAUAUUGCAUUUAAUUUCGACUUAAAAAUAUGAGAAUAAAUUUCUCCUUAUUUA